Molecule: ribosomal RNA, 397 nt
Filed under: uncultured bacterium
Lineage: Bacteria
Description: partial 16S ribosomal RNA
Rfam family: Bacterial small subunit ribosomal RNA
Source: RNAcentral
AUACGUAGGGGGCGAGCGUUGUCCGGAAUGAUUGGGCGUAAAGGGCGCGUAGGCGGCCCGGUAAGUCUGGAGUGAAAGUCCUGUUUUUAAGAUGGGAAUUGCUUUGGAUACUGUCGGGCUUGAGUGCAGGAGAGGUAAGUGGAAUUCCCAGUGUAGCGGUGAAAUGCGUAGAGAUUGGGAGGAACACCAGUGGCGAAGGCGACUUACUGGACUGUAACUGACGCUGAGGCGCGAAAGUGUGGGGAGCAAACAGGAUUAGAUACCCUGGUAGUCCACACUGUAAACGAUGAAUACUAGGUGUAGGGGGUAUCGACUCCCCCUGUGCCGCAGCUAACGCAUUAAGUAUUCCACCUGAGUAGUACGGUCGCAAGACUGAAACUCAAAUGAAUUGACGGGG